Oncorhynchus keta (chum salmon) is the source of this 403-nucleotide long non-coding RNA. RefSeq lists it as uncharacterized. The record is from RefSeq and is a predicted model, not a curated record. Lineage: Eukaryota; Metazoa; Chordata; Actinopteri; Salmoniformes; Salmonidae. The transcript is spliced from 3 exons.
UAGAGGUGAUUUAUACUAUAUAAUGACAGAGAGCCACUACACUACAGACCACAGAGAAUAGAGGUGAUUUAUACUAUAGAAUGACAGAGAGCCACUACACUACAGACCACAGAGAAUAGAGGUGAUUUAUACUAUAGAAUGACAGAGAGCCACUACACUACAGACCACAGAGAAUAGAGGUGAUUUAUACUAUAUAAUGACACAGAGCCACUACACUACAGACCACAGAGAAUAGAGGUGAUUUAUACUAUAUAAUGACACAGAGCCACUACACUACAGACCACAGAGAAUAGAGGUGAUUUAUACUAUAUAAUGACACAGAGCCACUACACUACAGACCACAGAGAAUAGAGGUGAUUUAUACUAUAUAAUGACAGAGAGCCACUACACUACAGACCACAGA